Molecule: long non-coding RNA, 587 nt
Organism: Suricata suricatta (meerkat)
Lineage: Eukaryota; Metazoa; Chordata; Mammalia; Carnivora; Herpestidae
Exons: 2
Source: RefSeq, a predicted model, not a curated record
CAUAGGCAGCACCUGAGAGGAAAGCAGAGCUUCAUUACCAUUCUUCAUGGUUAGUGUAAGAUACGUUCACAAUGGCAGUAAUUUGGAAGCAACAAGGGAAAAAUAAACUACUUACCCCACAGCAGCAUAAAUCAUUUUCAGUGAUCAACAUCUGCAUCCUCAAACUGUCCGGCAACGGUUGGUGUAGUAUCUACCUCCAUCCCAUCUGAAGAAAAAAAUCAACUGCUGAGCAACAGUCUACGGAGCUCUUCAGAGAGGUACAGGUGCAACCUACAUACCAGCAGAAGGAAGCUAGUGCCCUCUGUUGGUAACAACUGCUAUUUCUUUCUCUUCUGAAAAAGUAACAAGGAUCAAGAAAAAAAAAUGCCACCUGUACAUUAAACAUGUACUUUGUAAAUUCUCAACAUCAACACCAAAAGAACACUACGUAAGAACUUCUGCAUGUAGUGAGCACCAACUGUUCCUUCUUCACAUAACUGUGCUGGGUAUUUACUGUGUGACUUAUUAAAGGUGUAAAAGUCCUAUCCUCACAAAGUUUAUGACAUAAUUUUGAGAAAAGGCAAAAUAAAGAGGAAGGUUCUUGCUUA